This 429-nucleotide ribosomal RNA is filed under the name Actinomycetes bacterium. RNAcentral's name for it is "Actinobacteria bacterium partial 16S ribosomal RNA". It matches the Rfam family "Bacterial small subunit ribosomal RNA", at positions 355 to 776 of the family's 1533-position model. Lineage: Bacteria; Bacillati; Actinomycetota; Actinomycetes. The record is from RNAcentral.
UAGGGAAUCUUCCGCAAUGGGCGAAAGCCUGACGGAGCAACGCCGCGUGAGUGAUGAAGGUCUUCGGAUCGUAAAACUCUGUUAUUAGGGAAGAACAAAUGUGUAAGUAACUAUGCACGUCUUGACGGUACCUAAUCAGAAAGCCACGGCUAACUACGUGCCAGCAGCCGCGGUAAUACGUAGGUGGCAAGCGUUAUCCGGAAUUAUUGGGCGUAAAGCGCGCGUAGGCGGUUUUUUAAGUCUGAUGUGAAAGCCCACGGCUCAACCGUGGAGGGUCAUUGGAAACUGGAAAACUUGAGUGCAGAAGAGGAAAGUGGAAUUCCAUGUGUAGCGGUGAAAUGCGCAGAGAUAUGGAGGAACACCAGUGGCGAAGGCGACUUUUUGGUCUGUAACUGACGCUGAUGUGCGAAAGCGUGGGGAUCAAACAGG